UACAGAGGGUGCAAGCGUUAAUCGGAAUUACUGGGCGUAAAGCGUGCGUAGACGGUUAUGUAAGUCAGGUGUGAAAGCCCAGGGCUCAACCUUGGAAUUGCAUUUGAGACUGCAUAGCUAGGGUGCGGAAGAGGGAAGCGGAAUUUCCGGUGUAGCGGUGAAAUGCGUAGAGAUCUGGAGGAACACCAAAGGCGAAGGCAGUGUCCUGGGAGGCACCUGACGCUCAGGCGCGAAAGCCAGGGGAGCGAACGGG
RNAcentral lists this ribosomal RNA (253 nucleotides) under uncultured bacterium. Its description in RNAcentral is "partial 16S ribosomal RNA". It matches the Rfam family "Bacterial small subunit ribosomal RNA", at positions 524 to 776 of the family's 1533-position model. The record is from RNAcentral.